CGGUCAUGGCCCAGCCUUCAUGACCAUAGGUGAGGGUAGGAACGAAGAUCGACCGGUAGAUUGAGAGCUUUGCCUUCUGGCUCAGCUCUCUUUUCGUCACAACGGUGCGGUAAAGUGACUGUAAUAGUUGCAAUAAUAUUAACCAUCAUUAAUAUUUUUUAAUAACCAGACUUGCUCAUACCAGAAGACAUAAUGGCGACACUGUAAGGAGGUGUGGCAGUGUUCCAACACAGCUGAGCGAUGUGGCAGCAAAAGACUGAGCAUAGCACUGGCAGUUUAUUUUCACCAUAUUUCAAAAGGUAUGCAGAUUUGGAUGUUUGACCGCCGCCCGCCGCCCGCUUGAUUGGCUGCGACAUCUCCUCCUCCCUCCUUGAUGAAGACCGGCUGUGAUUGGUGUGCACCUGUUCCGGCUCUACAAUCCGAGUCGCACGGGAGAGACCGGUGACUACAAAUGCCAAGCCAGCUCGACAGUCGGGGCGGCUGGUGUUUGGCUUUUAUGCCUUAUUUGCGCUUGUGUUAAGAGCCCUCCUUUUGUUCUUUGUGGUGUCGUUAAAAGCAAUUGUUUGUCAAAUUGUCCACCAUAUUUAAUAAAUAUAUCUUUUUUUGCCAUCAA
Molecule: long non-coding RNA, 613 nt
Organism: Cottoperca gobio
Lineage: Eukaryota; Metazoa; Chordata; Actinopteri; Perciformes; Bovichtidae
Exons: 2
Source: RefSeq, a predicted model, not a curated record